GACGAACGCUGGCGGCGUGCUUAACACAUGCAAGUCGAACGAAGAGCGAUGGACGCUUGCUUCUAUCAAUCUUAGUGGCGCACGGGUGAGUAACGCGUAAUCAACCUGCCCUUCAGGGGGGGACAACAGUUGGAAACGACUGCUAAUACCGCAUACGAUCUGACCUCGGCAUCGAGGAUAGAUGAAAGGUGGCCUCUACAUGUAAGCUAUCACUGAAGGAGGGGAUUGCGUCUGAUUAGCUAGUUGGAGGGGUAACGGCCCACCAAGGCGAUGAUCAGUAGCCGGUCUGAGAGGAUGAACGGCCACAUUGGGACUGAGACACGGCCCAGACUCCUACGGGAGGCAGCAGUGGGGAAUCUUCCGCAAUGGACGAAAGUCUGACGGAGCAACGCCGCGUGAGUGAUGACGGCCUUCGGGUUGUAAAGCUCUGUUAAUCGGGACGAAAGGCCUUUUUGCGAAUAGUGAGAAGGAUUGACGGUACCGGAAUAGAAAGCCACGGCUAACUACGUG
RNAcentral lists this ribosomal RNA (510 nucleotides) under uncultured bacterium. RNAcentral describes it as "partial 16S ribosomal RNA". It matches the Rfam family "Bacterial small subunit ribosomal RNA", at positions 28 to 507 of the family's 1533-position model. The record is from RNAcentral.